GACGAACGCUGGCGGCGUGCUUAACACAUGCAAGUCGAACGGAAAGGCCCUGCUUGUGUGGGGUGCUCGAGUGGCGAACGGGUGAGUAACACGUGAGUAACCUGCCCUUGACUUUGGGAUAACUUCACGAAACUGGGGCUAAUACCGUAUAGGAUCUCCUGCUGCAUUGUGGGGGUUGGAAAGUUUCGGCGGUUGGGGAUGGACUCGCGGCUUAUCAGCUUGUUGGUUGGGUAGUGGCUGACCAAGGGAGUGACGGGUCGGCGGCAGGGGAGGGGGACCGGCGACAUUGGGACUGAGGUACGGCCCAGACUCCAACGGGAGGCAACGGUGGGGAAUAUGACACAAUGGGCGGAAGCCUGAUGCAGCAACGCCGCGGGCGUGAUGACGGCCUGUGGGGUGUAAACAGCUUUCGCUUGAGACGAAGCGUGAGUGACGGUAAUGGGUAAAGAAGCACCGGCUAACUACGUG
RNAcentral lists this ribosomal RNA (468 nucleotides) under uncultured bacterium. RNAcentral's name for it is "partial 16S ribosomal RNA". It matches the Rfam family "Bacterial small subunit ribosomal RNA", at positions 28 to 507 of the family's 1533-position model. The record is from RNAcentral.